RNAcentral lists this long non-coding RNA (576 nucleotides) under Oryctolagus cuniculus (rabbit). RNAcentral's name for it is "lncRNA (ENSOCUG00000036570.1)". The record is from RNAcentral. Lineage: Eukaryota; Metazoa; Chordata; Mammalia; Lagomorpha; Leporidae.
UUCCUGAGCCUCACCUUCCCCCUGGUUAGACCCCUCACCGUGGCAGCAACCCUGUGCCGUGGAGGUUGACAGCAGCGCAUGUGGCCACUGGACAGCAUGAAGGGUGGAGGCAGCUGAGACCAGGCAGAUGGAGCGGACAGAAGCCAGGCUAGCAUAGAACCUACGUACAUCUUUCCGUGUAGUCUGAUCAUAUCUAGGCUACUUAUAAUACCUAGUGCAGUGUAAAUGCCAUAUCAUCGUUGUGAUAUCCUAUUGUUUAGAGAAUAAUGGCCAGAAAGAUCAUCUAUACGUGUUCAGCAUAGAUGGAAUUUUUAAAAUAUUUCUGAUCUGUGAUUGAUUGUGGACGUGAACCCUGCUGCUACGGAGGGCCGGUCGUGCUUGUCUAAAGCGUAAAGGACAUCAGCUGAAACACGAAGUCCCUUAUUGUCCUCACAUUAGUUCUCUGGCCGAAGAUUCUCCCUUGCUAAUGAGCUGUCGGGAUUUGGCGUCCACGCUGAUCUGCUCACAGGUUGUUUUGCUUUAUAAUUACCUGUUACCUGUCUCUCAUGGUUAAUAUUACGGUCGCGCGGGGUGGUU